RNAcentral lists this small RNA (433 nucleotides) under Vibrio parahaemolyticus. RNAcentral describes it as "cspA". It matches the Rfam family "cspA thermoregulator". RNAcentral also lists the same sequence under 1 other name. The record is from RNAcentral. Lineage: Bacteria; Pseudomonadati; Pseudomonadota; Gammaproteobacteria; Vibrionales; Vibrionaceae.
ACAGGAUUUAACCUAGACUCAAACACGGCUAGAAAGAAAGUUCUUUGUUUUCACAUUUCGUUGGAUUUCUUGUAACUCCGUCGUCCUGUGGUACGCAAUAGCAAUUUAUUUUUCCACGCUAUAAGCGCCGUUGAGGCGAAAGAUUACACAAAUUUAGAUAUUUAGGAAAUAGACAUGUCUAACACAGCUACUGGCACAGUUAAGUGGUUCAACGAAACUAAAGGCUUCGGUUUCAUCCAACAAGAAAACGGUCCUGACGUAUUUGCUCACUUCUCUGCAAUCACUGGUGACGGCUUCCGUACUCUAGUUGAAGGCCAGAAAGUAGAAUUUGUUAUCUCUCAAGGUCAAAAAGGCCCUCAAGCAGAGCAAAUCAAAGUACUUUAAUUCUUAAAGAAUUUGAUAUGAUAGCCAGCUUUUAAGCUGGCUAUUUUUU